This is a long non-coding RNA of Carcharodon carcharias (great white shark), 162 nucleotides long. RefSeq lists it as uncharacterized. The transcript is spliced from 3 exons. NCBI's taxonomy places the organism in Eukaryota, Metazoa, Chordata, Chondrichthyes, Lamniformes, Lamnidae. The record is from RefSeq and is a predicted model, not a curated record.
ACGGAAGAGACUGUGCUGGUCAUUAUUGUGAUGCCCAUUGCUAAAGCAAUUGCUGGUGUUGGGGAUGAAACCAUUGAGGAUGCAAUUCCCAAGAAAUGCAACCAGGCCAAACAGCGGAAAAACAGCAAGACGACAAUGAUGGUCCGUGAGAUCUUAUUGGUG